RNAcentral lists this transfer RNA (73 nucleotides) under Amborella trichopoda. RNAcentral's name for it is "tRNA-Tyr". It matches the Rfam family "tRNA". Rfam says of the family: Transfer RNA (tRNA) molecules are approximately 80 nucleotides in length. The record is from RNAcentral. Lineage: Eukaryota; Viridiplantae; Streptophyta; Magnoliopsida; Amborellales; Amborellaceae.
CCGACCUUAGUUCAGUUGGUAGAGCGGAGAACUGUAGAUCCUUAGGUCGCUGGUUCGAAUCCGGUAGGUUGGA